This 468-nucleotide ribosomal RNA is filed under the name uncultured bacterium. RNAcentral's name for it is "partial 16S ribosomal RNA". It matches the Rfam family "Bacterial small subunit ribosomal RNA", at positions 28 to 507 of the family's 1533-position model. The record is from RNAcentral.
GACGAACGCUGGCGGCGUGCUUAACACAUGCAAGUCGAACGGAAAGGCCCUGCUUUUGUGGGGUGCUCGAGUGGCGAACGGGUGAGUAACACGUGAGUAACCUGCCCUUGACUUUGGGAUAACUUCAGGAAACUGGGGCUAAUACCGGAUAGGAGCUCCUGCUGCAUGGUGGGGGUUGGAAAGUUUCGGCGGUUGGGGAUGGACUCGCGGCUUAUCAGCUUGUUGGUGGGGUAGUGGCUUACCAAGGCUUUGACGGGUAGCCGGCCUGAGAAGGUGACCGGGCACCAUGGGACUGAGAUACGGCCCAGACUCCUACGGGAGGCAGCAGUGGGGAAUAUUGCACAAUGGGCGGAAGCCUGAUGCAGCAACGCCGCGUGCGGGAUGACGGCCUUCGGGUUGUAAACCGCUUUCGCCUGUGACGAAGCGUGAGUGACGGUAAUGGGUAAAGAAGCACCGGCUAACUACGUG